RNAcentral lists this transfer RNA (71 nucleotides) under Marmota monax (woodchuck). Its description in RNAcentral is "tRNA.Ala". Lineage: Eukaryota; Metazoa; Chordata; Mammalia; Rodentia; Sciuridae. The record is from RNAcentral.
GAGGUUGUGGCUCAGUGGUAGAGCGCUCACCUAGCAUGUGCGAGACCAUGGGUUCUAUCCUCAGCACCACA